GUGCUCGCUUCAGCAGCACAUAUACUAACAUUGGAACAAUACAGAGAAAAUUAACAUGGUCCCUGUGCAAGGAUGAUAUGCAAAUUUGUGAAGUGUUCCACAUUUUU
Small nuclear RNA from Peromyscus leucopus (white-footed mouse), 107 nucleotides. The record is from RefSeq and is a predicted model, not a curated record. NCBI's taxonomy places the organism in Eukaryota, Metazoa, Chordata, Mammalia, Rodentia, Cricetidae.